UACGGAGGAUGCAAGCGUUAUCCGGAAUGAUUGGGCGUAAAGCGUCCGCAGGUGGCAAUGUAAGUCUGCUGUCAAAGCGUCUGGCUCAACCAGAUAAAGGCAGUGGAAACUACAUAGCUAGAGUAAGGUAGGGGUAGAGGGAAUUCCUGGUGUAGCGGUGAAAUGCGUAGAGAUCAGGAAGAACACCGGUGGCGAAGGCGGCAUCCUGGACCGGCAUUGACGCUGAUGAGCGAAAGCCAGGGGAGCAAACGGG
This 253-nucleotide ribosomal RNA is filed under the name uncultured bacterium. RNAcentral's name for it is "partial 16S ribosomal RNA". It matches the Rfam family "Bacterial small subunit ribosomal RNA", at positions 524 to 776 of the family's 1533-position model. The record is from RNAcentral.